Molecule: long non-coding RNA, 2072 nt
Organism: Lagenorhynchus albirostris (white-beaked dolphin)
Lineage: Eukaryota; Metazoa; Chordata; Mammalia; Artiodactyla; Delphinidae
Exons: 2
Source: RefSeq, a predicted model, not a curated record
CCUUCACGUAGGGACACAUCAGAAUUCAGAGCAAUGGAAGUAGAGGGUGUGGAGUGUGUAAUAGAAGGAAUCAGGGAAAUAACGUUCAUCAGUGCAAAUAGGAUGUGUAUCCAGUGGCCUCAAUCUAGGCAUUCUAGCAGACUGCACCAGACACUCAGAAUCUGGCCUCUCCUGGUCACUGAAAAGCCCGCCCUGAGUGGAGGUCGUCUCUGCAGACUUGCCACCAUGACUGGGGCUCUGUCACAGGGAUGGCACAGAGGCGAGCAUUUGGGACCAGCGUGUAGCAUGUGCUGCCUUGGGGGGCGAAGGUGCCAGUGGAGCAGAAAGGAAGGCUGGGCUCCAAGCCCUCUCCCCACGCCCACCUCUGGUUCCUGCCAGGGCUACUGCUAAGUCAUUAUUGGGUUGGCAGUGGAGAGAGAAUGUACUAAGUUGUAGCGCAUUAACUUGGCCCCAAUCCCUGAAUGCAGUUGCCCACUUUUUUUUACCUCCUCGUAGGGCAGCUAGUGGCUGCUGCUUUCCACUCAAUUUCACUCUCGCGGAUUUUCUCUAACCCUCGCCCCUUGGAGGAAAACUAUGUAGUUUUAAACCACCAUUGAAAUGAAGUAGAGCCCCCGUAUGACCAGGAAAUAGUGGAAGAAUUUGUAGGGUUAUGACCCUAUUUCAUUUUCUUAUGAAAAAACACACUGAAAGUUUAUUAUUAAAGGGCCAGAAAAGAUGGUUCUCUUUUAGGAAAAAUAUAGCCCAUCAAUGUUUUUAGUGUUUGUGAAUUGGGUCUCACGGGGAAAGGUUACCACUACUAUAAAUGAUCAAUAAGCCAUAAGAUGGAAGCUCUUCCUGAAACUGCCGUUUCAAGAAGGAAGUAAGGAUAAAAUAGCAACACAAAUUUGGAGACAUAAUGGAUUGAAAUAACAUCGUUUCUUAAGAGAGCAGUAGCGAAGGAGCAUAAGGCAGAAGGAAGGUUGCAUUUGAGGAUACUAACUCACUUUUUUGUGUCCCAAAAGGGAUUGCUCCUUGCUCCCCUCCAAAGUGGAAACUUCAGGGUCUCUGUCAGCAGAGGCAGUGAGUGAGGGGCCCCUCCCUGGCCUUCAGAGAUGCCACUCACCCUGCAGCCACUUGCUCUGCCCACACAGCCUGCCCAGCUGCAGUGCAGCGGCCGCCUCCUAGAAGUCAUUCCCGAAGGCCUGCAAAGCUGGGGGGACGGUCAGACAGGCCUGAUUCUACCCAAGCAUCUGACUCUGGCCACCGUUCCCUUCAGCCCCAACUUCCUUCCCACCUGAUAAGCGAGCCCUGGACCCACAGGCUUCCUGCCUGAAAACUGCAGCCUCCACCUGCAGCCACCUCUGCCCAGCUCGCCUCACAAGGAGAACUUUGAAGAGUUGGUCCCACCAGAACAUUUUUGCUUAAUGCAAUUCAUAACCUUCUGGAAGGAAAUUAGCAUUUCUGAUGAAAUGCAGGUGUAUUUUUCUAUGGAUAUGAGUCGGGUUAAGAACUACUCUGAGGGCUUCCCUGGUGGCACAGUGGUUAAAAAUCCGCCUGCCAAUGCAAGGGACAUGGGUUCGAGCCCUGGUCUGGUAGAAUCCCACAUGCCGGGGAGCAACUAAGCCUGUGCACCACAACUACUGAGCCUGCGCUCUAGAGCCCGCAAGCCACAACUACUGAGCCCACGUGCCACAACUACUGAAGCCCGUGCGCCUAGAGCCCGUGCUCCACAACAAGAGAAGCCACCGCAAUGAGAAGCCUUCGCACUGCAACAAAGAGUAGCCCCUACUCACCGCGACUAGAGAAAGCCCAGGGGCAGCAAUGAAGACCCAGCACAGCCAAAAAUAAAUAAUUUAUAAAAAUUUUUUUUAAAUGACUCUGAGAAACUACCCACCCUCCUAGGUAACCCAACCUGAAUUCUUUAACGGGACAUUUGGAUUAUCCCUUUUUUCCCCAAUAAGUCAAUAGUGAUUAACCUAAUAUUUAUUUAUUUAUUUAUUUUGCCUUUAAAUACCUCUGCUGUGAAAGAAAUCCUUGAAAUUGGCCAGCUCGAGGUCUGUGCCCUUGCAGUUUAUAAUAAAAUUCCAACAUAA